This 489-nucleotide ribosomal RNA is filed under the name uncultured bacterium. RNAcentral's name for it is "partial 16S ribosomal RNA". It matches the Rfam family "Bacterial small subunit ribosomal RNA", at positions 28 to 523 of the family's 1533-position model. The record is from RNAcentral.
GACGAACGCUGGCGGUGUGCUUAACACAUGCAAGUGGCGCGACGAACCAGAGCUUGCUCUGGGGCAAAGCCGCGAACGGGUGAGUAACACGUGGGUAACCUGCCCCGAUGACUGGGACAACCCGGGGAAACCCGGGCCAAUACCGGACGAUGCAUCCAGGCUUAAGCCUGGAUGGCAAAGGUAGCUUCGGCUACCGCAUUGGGAUGGGCCCGCGGCCUAUCAGCUUGUUGGUGGGGUGAUGGCCUACCAAGGCAACGACGGGUAGCCGGGCUGAGAGGGUGACCGGCCACGCUGGGACGGGGAUACGGCACAGACUCCUACGGGAGGCAGCAGUGGGGAAUAUUGCACAAUGGGCGCAAGCCUGAUGCAGCGACGCCGCGUGAGGGAUGACGGCCUUCGGGUUGUAAACCUCUUUCAGCACCGACGAAGCGCAAGUGACGGUAGGUGCAGAAGAAGGACCGGCCAACUACGUGCCAGCCGCCGCCGUAA